Molecule: small nuclear RNA, 62 nt
Filed under: Choloepus hoffmanni (Hoffmann's two-fingered sloth)
Lineage: Eukaryota; Metazoa; Chordata; Mammalia; Pilosa; Megalonychidae
Description: U7 small nuclear RNA (ENSCHOG00000015367.1)
Rfam family: U7 small nuclear RNA
About the family: Animal histone pre-mRNAs are spliced by a different mechanism than nuclear pre-mRNAs and self-splicing introns. This processing involves the U7 snRNP, which contains only one RNA species: U7. The 5' end of U7 RNA is thought to base-pair to a conserved spacer element downstream of the cleavage site in histone pre-mRNA.
Source: RNAcentral
UAGUGUUACAGCUCUUUUAGAAUUUGUCUAGCAGGUUUUCUGGCUUUAACUGGAAAACCCUU